UCAGCAGUAGAUAGACGAUUAAGCCCUGAGUGAAAACUUGUACUUAGUCAAAGCCAAGAGGGCCGGUAAAACUCGUGCCAGCCACCGCGGUUAUACGAGAGGCCCAAGUUGACAGGUGCCGGCGUAAAGAGUGGUUAAGGAAAGAUACAAACUAAAGCCGAACACCUUCAGAACUGUCAUACGUUUCCGAAGGUAUGAAGCCCUACCACGAAAGUGGCUUUAUCCCCCUGACCGCCACGAAAGCUGUGAAACAAACUGGGAUUAAGAUACCCCACUAUGC
This 280-nucleotide ribosomal RNA is filed under the name Micropogonias furnieri (whitemouth croaker). RNAcentral's name for it is "partial small subunit ribosomal RNA". The record is from RNAcentral. Lineage: Eukaryota; Metazoa; Chordata; Actinopteri; Sciaenidae.